This 411-nucleotide ribosomal RNA is filed under the name uncultured Agromyces sp. RNAcentral's name for it is "partial 16S ribosomal RNA". It matches the Rfam family "Bacterial small subunit ribosomal RNA", at positions 355 to 774 of the family's 1533-position model. The record is from RNAcentral. Lineage: Bacteria; Bacillati; Actinomycetota; Actinomycetes; Micrococcales; Microbacteriaceae.
UGGGGAAUAUUGCACAAUGGGCGCAAGCCUGAUGCAGCAACGCCGCGUGCGGGAUGACGGCCUUCGGGUUGUAAACCGCUUUUAGUAGGGAAGAAGGGCUUCGGCUUGACGGUACCUGCAGAAAAAGGACCGGCUAACUACGUGCCAGCAGCCGCGGUAAUACGUAGGGUCCGAGCGUUGUCCGGAAUUAUUGGGCGUAAAGAGCUCGUAGGCGGUUUGUCGCGUCUGCUGUGAAAACUGGAGGCUCAACCUCCAGCCUGCAGUGGGUACGGGCAGACUUGAGUGGUGUAGGGGAGACUGGAAUUCCUGGUGUAGCGGUGGAAUGCGCAGAUAUCAGGAGGAACACCGAUGGCGAAGGCAGGUCUCUGGGCACUUACUGACGCUGAGGAGCGAAAGCGUGGGGAGCGAACA